This 253-nucleotide ribosomal RNA is filed under the name uncultured bacterium. RNAcentral describes it as "partial 16S ribosomal RNA". It matches the Rfam family "Bacterial small subunit ribosomal RNA", at positions 524 to 776 of the family's 1533-position model. The record is from RNAcentral.
UACGUAGGGUGCGAGCGUUAAUCGGAAUUACUGGGCGUAAGGCGUGCGCAGGCGGUGAGUUAAGUCUGAUGUGAAAGCCCCGGGCUCAACCUGGGAAUUGCUUUUGAGACUGUCGAGCUUGAGUGCGGAAGAGGUGAGUGGAAUUCCCAGUGUAGAGGUAAAAUUCGUAGAUAUUGGGAGGAACACCAGUGGCGAAGGCGGCUCACUGGUCCGUAACUGACACUGAGACACGGAAGCGUGGGGAGCAAACAGG